RNAcentral lists this long non-coding RNA (5340 nucleotides) under Nicotiana tabacum (common tobacco). Its description in RNAcentral is "long non-coding RNA (NTAB_LNC004432)". Lineage: Eukaryota; Viridiplantae; Streptophyta; Magnoliopsida; Solanales; Solanaceae. The record is from RNAcentral.
UAAAUUAUAAUACGCUAGAAUUUAUACAAACCAUGAAAGGAAAUUAUAUUCAUCCACAAAAUCAUCAUAAAAAAUAUUCAUCUAGUAUUAUCCAAAUGUAAGAGAAUAUUGACUAACAAUUCAAGAGUUAGAUUGCAUAUAAGUUUGCAAAAUAUUCAAAAAUAAGUACAGUCCUAAAACAUCUGAAGGUAUAGAUCAACCAAUACUCUUUAAGUAAGGUUUUCACUGCUUUCAUCUCCCAUUUGUUCAAUUUCUUCACCUACAAAUUCAAAAGACAUAACAAUAUUUAGAGGGUAAGGAAAAAACUAAACAUAUUCAACCAGUACUUCAACAAGUAAGAAAAUUGAGGUUAUCUUCAACCAACACUUCAUCUAUUUACUACUGUAACUACUUUUAGAUGACUAGUUUUUGAAGUACAAAAUUUAUAAUAUCACAUCAAUAAUAAUAGUAAAUGUGUGUGUGUAAGCGCCAAGACCAUUGUAAGCGCCAACAGUCACAUCAUAUUGUUGCCAUUGUAAGUGCGAAGGUCAUGAGGAGAUAUAUUGUCAUAGGUUACACAGAAAAAUAGUAGCAUCAACUCAAUGUGUUAAUGACGAGGUCGAGGAAGAUGCUCAACCUGUAGAAAAAUUACAAGGUGAUACCAGGGAUGUUUUGAAUGUAAAGAAACAAUAAAAUUUGGAGCUUGCAAAAUCUACGGGAGCUUGGUUGAUGUUGGAACAGGCAGGGCUUCACAUGUAUUGGAGGCAGGUUCAACAAAGGAGAAGGACAAUCCUAAUCCUAGUUUAACAAGACUGUUGGUGCUGAACAGAUUGCUCCAGCUGGUGCCGUUGGUCGUGGUGCAGUUUAGAAUCGAGCUACUACAGGUAGUAAUCAACAAGGAACUGAUGAAUCAAGGAGUUAGGAGUGGUAUAAAUGCUCUAGAAACUGUGCAGGUAAAGCUGGAUCAACAGAAAACUGUUUGGAAGUCUAAACUUCCUGCUGAUAUCCAUGCCGCUACUGCUUUAGCGAGGAUUUACCAGGCUGUGGGUUCUAAUUUAUAAAAUAAAAUUACUGUGGAUAGGAUUGGUGCCCAAGGUGAGGGUGCUACUAUGUGACUAAUGGAGAGGUGAAUGUGCAUAAGGCCUAUACUACAACUGUUGAACAAAAAGAGCAGGACUUGGCUACUAAGGGAUCAAAUUAUCAAGUUGCUGCUUUGUUAGCAACUGGUAAAUCUGGUGAGCAGGUGCCUGCCAAUAUUGCUGCUUUGGAGGUGAAUCAAAUACACUUAACAAUGCACAAGUUGAAUCUGAGCAAUUCUGCAACUUUAAGAAAAUAGUCUACGGUGCAGGCUAGAAUUGUGAGGCAAUAGGAAGGAAAUAAGAUGGACAGGAAUGUAAUCAAAUGGCAGUAGCUAAACAUGCUAUUCAUCUCACUACUGAUCAGCCCACUACUGGUGCACAAACAGCUCUUUUGAAGGGUGGAAGCAAGCAGGUUGUGCAUAAGGAAGAUACAAAAGCAGCUGCUAAAAAACCAGCAGCUCCUAUAGCUAGUCCUGUGCAACAGGUAGGUGUGGAAGAAAGAGCAUGACAAGUUCUUUUCCAGGCAAAUCCGGAGCAGGUUGUGCAUAAAGAAUAUACACAAACAGCUGCUGAAAAACCAGCAGCUCCUAUAGCUAUUGUUGUGCAACAGGUAGGUGCGGAAGAAAGAGCUGGACAGGUGCUUUUCCAAGCAAAUCUGGACAGUUAUGAGGCAGAAGGCAUCACCAGGCGCAAAGAAAAAACAACAAAAUUUGACUGUUUCAGCAGGUCGACAAAAAGCUCCAAUGACAGUAGUUAAUCGAGCACAUACACUUAGAGCACCCAUCACUUUAAAAUCAGGAUUAAUUAAAAAAAUGCAAAUUUCUAACUGUACAAUCUAAAAAUUAGAAGCAUCAAUUAGCACACAUUUUACAAGGACAUAAUAUUUCAUUUUCUUGGGAAGCUCGUUCACAUGCCUUAUCAAGAAAAUUAUUCACUCCGCGGAUAUACUCAUCAGUGGAUCUUCGAAGACCCAUCCAAAUUUUAUCUCCAUUACUCAUUUAAUAUCCUAUGGGACACAAAAGUAAAUCAACAAUUAAUCCCUGUUCCAGUAAGACACACUUGUAGUAUUCAAAUAUGUUGUUGUAUCACCAAAGGUAAUACAUGCACCUUGAUUCAUAUCCAACUCCCCGAUAUUAGCACUAUUUAUUCAGUCAUCCAUUUAAUAAUUGCUUCCUGCUUUUCCAAACUAAUUGUAAAUAUUUAUUGCAAAUUUGGAAGCCACUAGAAAAGAAAAAAACAGAAAGGUUAUAAAGUUGAUUAUUGAUCAACCACACCUAACCUUCUCAAGACGUGAGGGAGAAAAGAUCAUGUUUUAGGUUUCAAUUUUACACAUAGAAAUAUACUGGUAAUUUUGGAGACAUAUACUCGACCACAAGCAUCUAAAAGGGACCUUUCAGUAGGAAGAUUUUAUAAAAAUUGCCAAACAACUUAUAAAAAACAAAAAUAAUUGUCACUCUUCUAUAUACAAACAACAAUAAUUCAUGCACAUUUUACAAUCAACUUAAUGCAAGUACCAUAUAAAAACUACAAUAUUUCCACAUAUUUUUUACCAACAAAGUAAGACAAUUUACGAAGUACGAAUUACAACCUAUGCGCAUACACCUUUCACCAAUAAUUUGACAUAGCCAAACUAGUAAGCCACAAAUUAUAUCAAGGAAAACAUAUGAGAAUUUUCAAGAAUAAGAAAUAAGAUCCAUGUAGAUAACGUCAAGUUACCUGAAUUGAUAGCGACUCCUCUAAGUUCACAACCUGAAAAGCCAAUUCUGAUGAUAAGAAACUAGUUGUAGUAAAAGUUAGUCUGCUUCUUUUUUCUUUUACUAAAUUUCCAACAAAACUCAAAACAAAAUUCCUGCAAAUAGAUUUUAAUAAACGCAGAUGCCUACCACCCCACCAAACAAAAAGUGAGCAAGCUGAAUAACAGAAGCUCGUGCUUGCAAACUUGGCAUAAAAGAAAAGAGAAGUACACUACCAUUUGCAACAACUUUGCUACAGAUGAUGGUAUUUGCAAAAGAGCACACCCAGAUGACACUCCAAAGACCAAUACUAAACUGAAUAUCUGGAUGCAAUGGAAGCAAGACCAUUUUUGGGACCAUUAUGUAUGUGAAGCUUAUGCAUUUUUCCAAAUUGUCAGAAUGGAUCCUUUGCACAAUCUUAUAAAAUUGUAUUGUGCAGCAAAUAACACUACUGAGUACUCAGCAGUAGACAAGCAUGUUAGAAAAUUUCGUCCAAGAAGGGCGACUAAUAGCAAUUUAUCCAUAAAAUAAAAUUUAGGCCUUUCAUAUCUCAAUUAUAGAAGGAAAUAGAACAUUUGGAUUUUUAAUUUUAGGUAGUAAUUAGGCUUGUCAAAGUUAUUGGAAGGAUAUAGGUCAGAAUUAGGCGUGUCUCAGGUCAAUGAAGUAGAUACAUUAGUGUUUGUAUAUUUAUUGAAAAUAUACAUGAGAGCUUGCACAAUUGUCCAGGUUGUGAGAGCUUAAGGAAUUCCAAGACCAUUAGUGAUAUGAAUGAAUGACAAAUGUGUUUCUUACGUAAGAGCUUGCACAAUUUACCAUUACUCUUAAACAGAACGGUUGAGCGGCAGAAUGAAAUGUUUCUGUUGGUUGUUCUUGUCAAGUAUCAGAAAUUCUGUUUCACACUACCAACAUUCUAAAAUUUCUAAAUUGGUUUUGGUUAUGUACUUCACUGUGACUCUUGGAGCAUUUGUAAGAUUUCAGUGUGUUUAAACAUUUACUUUUGUAAUUAUAUGUUAUGCUUUCAUUAAUUAAAUCUCUAUCAAUUCAAACCAAAAAAGAAAAAAAAAAGAAAAAUAGAUUAAAAGAAAAACUUAGAGAUUGAACAGUUGCAAAAGGCAGAACAGUUGCAAAGAGGAAACCAAAGUAGAAAAUUCCACAAACUGAACCAUCAGUUUCUCAUUCUCAACAUACCCCUCAACAACCAUUUUAGAACACAAGAGCAAAAUCAUCAACAAACCAACCAAAAAAGUGAAAUCUCAAGAUAUAAACAACAUUUUUCUCUAACUCUCUAGCUUUUGAAUUUCCCUAUUCAAGUUUUUGAACUUCUCUAUUCAAGUUUUUGAACUUUUUCGACCUCAACGAUGGAGCUUCGAAGGGUAUUUCUCAUUUUACUUUCCUUCCAAACAGAAAUAGACUCAAUAUUUAGUACAAAAUCAACUUUGAAUAAAAAUUUGGCUCAAAGAAUUGAAACCCAGCUUCUAAAACACCAAUUUUACUAAAACCCCAAAUUUUGAGCAAUCUUCUUUAAUUUUUUUUAUCACAGAAUUUUUUACGGAGUUCUCAAAUUUUCACCAAAUUUGAGAUAAAAGCUUUAAACCACACUAAAUUUAAACAUCAAACAUUAAUUAGAACAAAACAUAAUGACUUCAUAGAAACCCAUUUGUGUAUUUUGUAAGCUUUUCCAAAAACCCUUGAAUGGUAAAUCUAGAGACAAAGAAGUUUUAAGCCAUGGAGGAGAGAGAAUCAUGCACACCUUUUGUGGUAGAGAACAAUAGUAUACUUGGUAGAACAAUUCCUUCGCUGGAUGUGGGUUUGAAGAAGGCAUCAAUUCGCUGAGGGUUUUAUCGCAUGAAGAUCGAGAAAGUCGGAAAGGAGUAAGAAGACCCUGUUUUGAUAUGUAUACUUUAAUUUUUGGUAUUACUUUUUAAUUAUAAAAAUGAUAGCAUUCUCAAGUUUAGUGAAAUAUUGGAGGGAAACUAAAUUGUCCCAAUAAUAUUUUUUUUAGAAAGAACCAUCCCCACAGAGUUAUUUUACAAAUCUGUCUCCAUAAAUAUCUUUGUGGCAACGGUUAUUGUACUACUGCGAUGGUUUCAUUUUAGUACUGUCUUAAUAGGCCUAAGAGGCUAUUGCGACAAUUAUAACCCUUGCAAUAGACCAUCUAUUGUAAGGGUUACAUAACUGAUGCUAAAUAACUGAUGCAAUAGGUGUAAUUUCUAGUAGUGUCGAUUACGGUCCAAAUUCUAAGACUUAAGCCUCAUUUAAGGACUAAGUAUCCCAAAACACUCUGAAACUCAAAACGAAUUACCUCGUCAAGUCACAAUAGCAGAAAUAGAUAUGAGGAAAAUAGUUAAUAGGGGAUCAGGGCGUUAAUUCUCAAAACGAUUGGCCGGGUCAUUGCAGUAGAGGAGUUUGAAUGAAUGGAUAUUCCCGUCUCUCUCUCUGCGUGAGUGUGGUCUCUUCGAAGAGUGUGAGAGAGGUCAGGCGGCUGGUUUUUUGUUCUUCUUAGAGGAGUGAAAUUAAGGUUUUUUUGUAGGGGGGAUACGUCUCUAUAG